This 465-nucleotide ribosomal RNA is filed under the name Vreelandella stevensii. RNAcentral describes it as "partial 16S ribosomal RNA". It matches the Rfam family "Bacterial small subunit ribosomal RNA", at positions 338 to 795 of the family's 1533-position model. The record is from RNAcentral. Lineage: Bacteria; Pseudomonadati; Pseudomonadota; Gammaproteobacteria; Oceanospirillales; Halomonadaceae.
CCUACGGGUGGCAGCAGUGGGGAAUAUUGGACAAUGGGCGAAAGCCUGAUCCAGCCAUGCCGCGUGUGUGAAGAAGGCCUUCGGGUUGUAAAGCACUUUCAGUGGGGAAGAAAGCCUUGGGGCUAAUACCCUCGAGGAAGGACAUCACCAACAGAAGAAGCACCGGCUAACUCCGUGCCAGCAGCCGCGGUAAUACGGAGGGUGCGAGCGUUAAUCGGAAUUACUGGGCGUAAAGCGCGCGUAGGCGGUCUGAUAAGCCGGUUGUGAAAGCCCCGGGCUCAACCUGGGAACGGCAUCCGGAACUGUCAGGCUAGAGUGCAGGAGAGGAAGGUAGAAUUCCCGGUGUAGCGGUGAAAUGCGUAGAGAUCGGGAGGAAUACCAGUGGCGAAGGCGGCCUUCUGGACUGACACUGACGCUGAGGUGCGAAAGCGUGGGUAGCGAACAGGAUUAGAUACCCCGGUAGUC